This 277-nucleotide unclassified non-coding RNA is filed under the name uncultured Acaulium. Its description in RNAcentral is "sequence contains ITS2". Lineage: Eukaryota; Fungi; Ascomycota; Sordariomycetes; Microascales; Microascaceae. The record is from RNAcentral.
AACGCACAUUGCGCCCGGUAGUAAUCUGCCGGGCAUGCCUGUCCGAGCGUCAUUUCUCCCCUCGAGCGCGGCUUCACGGCCUGUCGCCCGGUGUUGGGGCGCUACGGUGGAGCCCCGCGCUCCCCCCGUAGGCCCCGAAAUGUAGUGGCGGUCCCGCCGCGGCGCCCCCUGCGUAGUAGUCUUACAACUCGCAUCGGGACCCGGCGGAGGCCAGCCGUCAAACCCCCAACUUCAAUAGUUUGACCUCGGAUCAGGUAGGGUUACCCGCUGAACUUAA